GGAAUAUAAGAAAUCGUUUCUUAAAUUUUAAUUAAAAAACUUAAGAACCGGUUCUUAAAUAUCUUAUUUAAGAACCGGUUCUUAAUUUUUUUAGUUAAAAGUUAAGAGAUAGAUUUUUAUAUUCC
This is a microRNA precursor of Brassica oleracea var. oleracea, 125 nucleotides long. It matches the Rfam family "MIR9563 microRNA precursor family". The record is from Rfam. NCBI's taxonomy places the organism in Eukaryota, Viridiplantae, Streptophyta, Magnoliopsida, Brassicales, Brassicaceae.